GGGGCUGAACUGGUAUCGACUUUGAUCGAUCGUGGUAAGAGAAGCGAGCCGAGGGUCCGAGAGUCCUCGUUAAUCAAGCUCGGAAACUAACAAUUGCCGACUCUAACGAGUUUGCCGUCGCUGCGUAACUAAACGCAGCGUCCGUCGGCCCGGGCUUUGUCUGCGGCCCGAAGCCGACGUCAUGCAGCAGACUUGCCGCCCGAAGUGCGCUCGGGGCAACGGGCGGGACACUCACCUGAGCUGGGCGCCGGCCGCUGCCGUUCGCGGGCCGGCCUGUGCCGAGACAUAGACCGCGAACUACGCUCGUAGAAGACUUGUUGCGAGGUCGAAGGACCCGGGUUCAAUUCCCGGCAGCUCCACUG
Molecule: transfer-messenger RNA, 362 nt
Filed under: Actinomycetota (actinobacteria)
Lineage: Bacteria; Bacillati
Also listed under: 2 other names
Description: JACCZU01 sp013695835 Standard tmRNA
Rfam family: transfer-messenger RNA
About the family: Bacterial tmRNA, also known as 10Sa RNA or SsrA, is named for its dual tRNA and mRNA-like properties.
Source: RNAcentral